AGGGACAGAGGGAUUUAAAAUGAGAGGAUCCAGAGAGGAAUUCAUUCAAAGUCAUUCUGUGUCAUUCUAGUUUGUGGAAAACUCAUGGAAAACAGUAUCUUUUCAUGAUGCUUUAUUUACACAAUAGUUUAUUUGGGGGUAAUUAUACAAAAAAAAUGAGAAUGAAGAUACCUGCAGAACUAAAUAAAUGCUUAGUGAAAGUGUUUGGAAAAAUUAAAAUGAUUAUCAUGACAGAAAAUGACGGGAAAAGGAGGAGACAAAAUGACAAAACCAGAUGAAAAAAAAGAGAAAAGUCUGUCGUCAUAGAGAGGACUGCAGUGAACCAAAGGCAGAAAGCAUGAAGGAGGAAGAGGAAAGAGGCUCUGAGCUGCAGCGAGAGCCGGACAGACAGCUGCUGACAGAAAAAGAGUGAGGCGGAGGGUUUGCAGAUUCACUUGGACACUUUCACAGAAGCUGUUCUCUCGUUUCCACCUGCGCAACAUCUGGCUCUGCCGUCGCCGCUGCUGCUGACUCAGAGCUCUGUCCCCCCUCUGGUCACCGGUGGGAUCCAUCUCCAGAGCACUGACUGAACUACAUCUCCCAGCAACCCCAGCGCACAGUUCCUGGAUGCUACUCAGCUGUCUCUCAUUUGCCAAUCACACACAGGACACUUAAGCACUGAACAGAGCCUCACUCAGUGUAAAGUAUUAUUUGUGUCACUGUCAUUUAAAAAGAAAAGAA
Oryzias melastigma (Indian medaka) is the source of this 720-nucleotide long non-coding RNA. RefSeq lists it as uncharacterized. The transcript has 2 exons. The record is from RefSeq and is a predicted model, not a curated record. NCBI's taxonomy places the organism in Eukaryota, Metazoa, Chordata, Actinopteri, Beloniformes, Adrianichthyidae.